ACGCUCGACACCUACGGGAGGCAGCAGUGGGGAAUAUUGCGCAAUGGAGGAAACUCUGACGCAGUGACGCCGCGUAUAGGAAGAAGGUUUUCGGAUUGUAAACUAUUGUCGUUAGGGAAGAGAAAGGACAGUACCUAAGGAGGAAGCUCCGGCUAACUACGUGCUAGCAGCCGCGGUAAUCUGAGCGGGCUGGCAAGGC
This 199-nucleotide ribosomal RNA is filed under the name uncultured bacterium. RNAcentral describes it as "partial 16S ribosomal RNA". It matches the Rfam family "Bacterial small subunit ribosomal RNA", at positions 328 to 539 of the family's 1533-position model. The record is from RNAcentral.